RNAcentral lists this ribosomal RNA (1423 nucleotides) under metagenome. RNAcentral's name for it is "bacterial SSU rRNA". It matches the Rfam family "Bacterial small subunit ribosomal RNA". The record is from RNAcentral.
CGGGUGAGUAACGCGUGGGUAAGUUGCCUUUAUGUUCGGGAUAGCCCUCUGAAAAGAGGAUUAAUACCGGAUGUGGUCGCCCCGAGCAUUCGGGGUUGUCUAAAGGUGGGGAUUCUUCGGAACCUGCCGCAUAGAGAUACACCCGCGUCCCAUCAGCUUGUUGGUAGGGUAACGGCCUACCAAGGCGAAGACGGGUAGCUGGUCUGAGAGGAUGGUCAGCCACACUGGGACUGAGACACUGCCCAGACUCCUACGGGAGGCUGCAGUCGAGAAUCAUUCACAAUGCGCGAAAGCGUGAUGAUGCGACGCCGCGUGGAGGAUGAAGGCCUUCGGGUUGUAAACUCCUGUCAGGAGGGAAAAAUUUCCCGGCCGCGAAUACCGGCUGGGGUUGAUGGUACCUCCAGAGGAAGCCACGGCUAACUCUGUGCCAGCAGCCGCGGUAAUACAGAGGUGGCGAGCGUUGUUCGGAUUUACUGGGCGUAAAGGGUGCGUAGGCGGCGUGGUGUGUCGGAUGUGAAAGCUCACGGCUUAACCGUGGAAAUGCAUCCGAAACUACCAUGCUAGAGUACAGGAGAGGUAAGUGGAAUUCUUGGUGUAGCGGUGAAAUGCGUAGAUAUCAAGAGGAACACCGGUGGCGAAAGCGACUUACUGGACUGUUACUGACGCUGAGGCACGAAAGCCGGGGUAGCAAAAAGGAUUAGAUACCCUUGUAGUCCCGGCCGUAAACGUUGUGUACUUGGUGUAGGAGGAAUUAUCCCCUUCUGUGCCGGAGCUAACGCGUUAAGUACACCGCCUGGGGAGUACGGCCGCAAGGUUAAAACUCAAAGGAAUUGACGGGGGCCCGCACAAGCGGUGGAGCAUGUGGCUUAAUUCGAUGCAACGCGAAGAACCUUACCAGGGCUUGACAUGCCUGUCGUACCCGAGUGAAAGUUUGGGGUCAUUUAGUUGGACGGUGCACAGGUGCUGCAUGGCUGUCGUCAGCUCGUGCCGUGAGGUGUUGGGUUAAGUCCCGCAACGAGCGCAACCCUUUUGGUUAGUUGCCACUCCCUUCGGGGAAGCACUCUAACCAGACUGCCCGUGAUAAGCGGGAGGAAGGUGGGGAUGACGUCAAGUCAGUAUGGCCCUUAUGCCCUGGGCUGCACACGUGCUACAAUGGCCGGUACAGAGGGAGGCAAGACCGCGAGGUGGAGCAAAUCCCCAAAACCGGCCCCAGUUCGGAUUGGAGUCUGCAACUCGACUCCAUGAAGUUGGAAUCGCUAGUAAAGGCGUAUCAGCUACGACGCCUUGAAUACGUUCCCGGGCCUUGUACACACCGCCCGUCACAUCAUGAAAGCCGACUGCACCCGAAGUCGUUGGUCCAACCCCUCGGGGGGGAAGACGCCGAAGGUGUGGUUGGUAAUUGGGAUGAAGUCGUAACAAGGUA